RNAcentral lists this ribosomal RNA (928 nucleotides) under uncultured Bacillota bacterium. RNAcentral describes it as "bacterial SSU rRNA". It matches the Rfam family "Bacterial small subunit ribosomal RNA", at positions 550 to 1484 of the family's 1533-position model. The record is from RNAcentral. Lineage: Bacteria; Bacillati; Bacillota.
AUUACUGGGUGUAAAGGGAGCGCAGGCGGAUUGGCAAGUUGGGAGUGAAAUCUAUGGGCUCAACCCAUAAAUUGCUUUCAAAACUGUCAGUCUUGAGUGGUGUAGAGGUAGGCGGAAUUCCCGGUGUAGCGGUGGAAUGCGUAGAUAUCGGGAGGAACACCAGUGGCGAAGGCGGCCUACUGGGCACUAACUGACGCUGAGGCUCGAAAGCAUGGGUAGCAAACAGGAUUAGAUACCCUGGUAGUCCAUGCCGUAAACGAUGAUUACUAGGUGUGGGAGGAUUGACCCCUUCCGUGCCGCAGUUAACACAAUAAGUAAUCCACCUGGGGAGUACGACCGCAAGGUUGAAACUCAAAGGAAUUGACGGGGGCCCGCACAAGCAGUGGAGUAUGUGGUUUAAUUCGAAGCAACGCGAAGAACCUUACCAGGUCUUGACAUCGGAUGCAUACCUAAGAGAUUAGGGAAGUCCUUCGGGACAUCCAGACAGGUGGUGCAUGGUUGUCGUCAGCUCGUGUCGUGAGAUGUUGGGUUAAGUCCCGCAACGAGCGCAACCCUUAUCGUUAGUUACUACGCAAGAGGACUCUAGCGAGACUGCCGUUGACAAAACGGAGGAAGGUGGGGAUGACGUCAAAUCAUCAUGCCCUUUAUGACCUGGGCUACACACGUACUACAAUGGCUAUUAACAGAGAGAAGCGAUACCGCGAGGUGGAGCAAACCUCACAAAAAUAGUCUCAGUUCGGAUCGCAGGCUGCAACCCGCCUGCGUGAAGCCGGAAUUGCUAGUAAUCGCGGAUCAGCAUGCCGCGGUGAAUACGUUCCCGGGCCUUGUACACACCGCCCGUCACACCAUGAGAGCCGGGGGGACCCGAAGUCGGUAGUCUAACCCGUAGGAGGACGCCGCCGAAAGUAAAACUGGUGAUUGGGGUGAA